RNAcentral lists this ribosomal RNA (859 nucleotides) under Magnusiomyces capitatus. RNAcentral's name for it is "bacterial SSU rRNA". It matches the Rfam family "Eukaryotic small subunit ribosomal RNA", at positions 1 to 1422 of the family's 1831-position model. Lineage: Eukaryota; Fungi; Ascomycota; Dipodascomycetes; Dipodascales; Dipodascaceae. The record is from RNAcentral.
AGGGAUCCAGGCCGGACGGAAUUAUUCCGGCAUGAACUACCNCCACGGAGCAGGCUAACCCAAUCNCAGGGGGGUGUCAAUAAAACGUGGGGCUAGUCUUGCAAGGAAUGAGAACACGAUAAUGGUUAACGGGCAAAAGAGGGCAANUCUGUGCAGCAGCCGCGUAAUUCCAGCUCUUUAGGUAUAUAAAUUUGUCGCAGUUAAAAAGCUGUAGUUGAUAGUCGGGGGACGGAACUUUUAUUGAGGUUUCCUGAACNUAGGUCGUAUAUUUGACAGACUUUGAGAAAAUUAGAGCGCUUAANGCAGUCAUGAAUACGUUAGCAUGGAAUCAAUAGGACGAUUUCUUUGAUAAUGAUUAAAAGGACAGUCGGGGCAUCAGUAUUCAGGAGCUAGAGUGAAAUUUUGAUUCCUGAAGACUAAUAGUGCGAAAGCAUUUGCCAGGAUGUCUUCAUUAAUCAAGAACGAAAGUUAGGGGAUCGAAGACGAUCAGANACCGUCGUAGUCUUAACAGUAAACUAUGCCGAUAGAGUGGAGGAUGGACUAUUUAAUCUAUUCUCCGCUCAAGCGAAAGCAGUUGGUUCUGGGGGGAGUAGGUCGCAAGGCUGAAACUUAAAGGAAUUGACGGAAGGGCACCACCAGGAGUGGAGCCUGCGGCUUAAUUUGACUCAACACGGGGAAACUCACCAGGUCCAGACACAAUGAGGAUUGACAGAUUGAGAGCUCUUUCAGAUUUUGUGGGUGGUGGUGCUGGCCGUUCUUAGUUGGUGGAGUGAUUUGUCUGCUUAAUUGCGAUAACGGACGAGUUUUGGCGAGCAGUUGGUGAAGUUACAUUUUGUAGCGGAUCCGUCUACUCGGACAG